Long non-coding RNA from Tupaia belangeri chinensis (Chinese tree shrew), 432 nucleotides. RefSeq lists it as uncharacterized. NCBI's taxonomy places the organism in Eukaryota, Metazoa, Chordata, Mammalia, Scandentia, Tupaiidae. The record is from RefSeq and is a predicted model, not a curated record. The transcript is spliced from 3 exons.
GGAAGUGAUUCCAGGACUGUCUUGGAGACAGCGAAGCCAGCUCACAUCUGAAGACAUCUCACAAGGCCCUGGCUGGGACUCCACCAGCUUUGAACACUGCUUCAAAGCCACUGCUGAGCCACCUGCUGUCCAGGAUACCUUUCAAACUAGCGCCUUCUUCCCGUGAGUAAGCCCACCCGGCAGAGCUAAGGAAAACUGCAGGAGAGGUUGAUGGGAAGCUUUGGAUCAAGGUGGACAGAGCAUCUGGACAUCUGGACAUGUUUUUGAAACUUCUGUCCUUCAUGGGCCAGAGUCGCUUCACCUGGUGCUAGGUUGGCAGGAACUCCACAUCAAAGAUCGUGCUAAGUCCAGGGCAGAUGCUGACAGAUUGGUGCCAAAAACCCGGGAUCUGGACACCCCUAUUUUUGGUCAACUUGGCUUCUGGACAAUCCC